GUUCUUGGCAGGGUGCAGAGAGGGGAUCAAGUAACCUAAGUGUUUCCCUCACAGACUGACAUUCAUCUCGGUAUUCAUCUUCCUUGUCAAGGAAAGGAUAAAGAAGGCAUAAUUAAGAAAAUGAUGUUAUUAUUUUAGGUUUUAGAAACCUGUUCUUUAUCUUGAGCCUCUCGUUCUCCCUCCUUCACCAGUGUUUCUAACCUCUGAAAUAGUUCCUGAGUUCGAAUCGUCCUCCCAUGCCAUCAGUAUGAGCGCCUAUCUGCGAGAACAGAGAAGGGAGCUCUAUAGUCGGAGUGGAGAACUGCAAGG
Molecule: small RNA, 309 nt
Filed under: Pongo abelii (Sumatran orangutan)
Lineage: Eukaryota; Metazoa; Chordata; Mammalia; Primates; Hominidae
Description: processed transcript
Source: RNAcentral